RNAcentral lists this ribosomal RNA (253 nucleotides) under uncultured bacterium. RNAcentral describes it as "partial 16S ribosomal RNA". It matches the Rfam family "Bacterial small subunit ribosomal RNA", at positions 524 to 776 of the family's 1533-position model. The record is from RNAcentral.
UACGUAGGGGGCGAGCGUUGUCCGGAAUCAUUGGGCGUAAAGCGCGUGUAGGCGGCCCGGUAAGUCCGCUGUGAAAGUCCAGGGCUCAACCCUGGGAUGCCGGUGGAUACUGUCGGGCUCGAGUCCGGAAGAGGCGAGUGGAAUUCCUGGUGUAGCGGUGAAAUGCGCAGAUAUCAGGAGGAACACCGGUGGCGAAGGCGGAUCUCUGGGCCUUACCUGACGCUGAGGCGCGAAAGCUAGGGGAGCAAACAGG